UGGGGAAUAUUGCACAAUGGGGGAAACCCUGAUGCAGCCAUGCCGCGUGUAUGAAGAAGGCCUUCGGGUUGUAAAGUACUUUCGGUAAUGAGGAAGGUGGUGUAUCUAAUAGGUGCAUCAAUUGACGUUAAUUACAGAAGAAGCACCGGCUAACUCCGUGCCAGCAGCCGCGGUAAUACGGAGGGUGCGAGCGUUAAUCGGAAUGACUGGGCGUAAAGGGCAUGUAGGCGGAUAAUUAAGUUAGGUGUGAAAGCCCUGGGCUCAACCUAGGAAUUGCACUUAAAACUGGUUAACUAGAGUAUUGUAGAGGAAGGUAGAAUUCCACGUGUAGCGGUGAAAUGCGUAGAGAUGUGGAGGAAUACCGGUGGCGAAGGCGGCCUUCUGGACAGAUACUGACGCU
This 400-nucleotide ribosomal RNA is filed under the name uncultured bacterium. RNAcentral describes it as "bacterial SSU rRNA". It matches the Rfam family "Bacterial small subunit ribosomal RNA", at positions 355 to 747 of the family's 1533-position model. The record is from RNAcentral.